RNAcentral lists this ribosomal RNA (323 nucleotides) under uncultured bacterium. RNAcentral describes it as "bacterial SSU rRNA". It matches the Rfam family "Bacterial small subunit ribosomal RNA", at positions 9 to 312 of the family's 1533-position model. The record is from RNAcentral.
GAGUUUGAUCAUGGCUCAGGAUGAACGCUGGCGGCGUGCCUAACACAUGCAAGUCGAGCGAAGCACUUUGCUUUGAAUCUUUCGGGAGGACGAGUGAUUUGACUGAGCGGCGGACGGGUGAGUAACGCGUGGGUAACCUGCCUCACACAGGGGGAUAACAGUUAGAAAUGACUGCUAAUACCGCAUAAGACCACGGUGUCGCAUGACACAGUGGUAAAAACUCCGGUGGUGUGAGAUGGACCCGCGUCUGAUUAGGUAGUUGGUGAGGUAACGGCUCACCAAGCCGACGAUCAGUAGCCGGCCUGAGAGGGUGGACGGCCACA